ACUCCUACGGGAGGCAGCAGUAGGGAAUCUUCCACAAUGGGCGCAAGCCUGAUGGAGCAACACCGCGUGAGUGAAGAAGGGUUUCGGCUCGUAAAGCUCUGUUGUUAAAGAAGAACACGUAUGAGAGUAACUGUUCAUACGUUGACGGUAUUUAACCAGAAAGUCACGGCUAACUACGUGCCAGCAGCCGCGGUAAUACGUAGGUGGCAAGCGUUAUCCGGAUUUAUUGGGCGUAAAGAGAGUGCAGGUGGUUUUCUAAGUCUGAUGUGAAAGCCUUCGGCUUAACCGGAGAAGUGCAUCGGAAACUGGGAAACUUGAGUGCAGAAGAGGACAGUGGAACUCCAUGUGUAGCGGUGAAAUGCGUAGAUAUAUGGAAAACACCAGUGGCGAAGGCGGCUGUCUGGUCUGUAACUGACGCUGAGGCUCGAAAGUAUGGGUAGCAAACAGGAUUAGAUACCCUGGUAGGAUAGCG
RNAcentral lists this ribosomal RNA (472 nucleotides) under uncultured bacterium. Its description in RNAcentral is "bacterial SSU rRNA". It matches the Rfam family "Bacterial small subunit ribosomal RNA", at positions 335 to 802 of the family's 1533-position model. The record is from RNAcentral.